UACGUAGGGUGCGAGCGUUGUCCGGAAUUACUGGGCGUAAAGAGCUCGUAGGUGGUUUGUCGCGUUGUUCGUGAAAACCUGAGGCUUAACCUUGGGCGUGCGGGCGAUACGGGCAGACUGGAGUACUGCAGGGGAGACUGGAAUUCCUGGUGUAGCGGUGGAAUGCGUAGAGAUCCGGAGGAACACCAGCGGCGAAGGCGGCAUCCUGGACUGGUCCUGACACUCAGGAGCGAAAGCGUGGGGAGCGAUCCGG
Molecule: ribosomal RNA, 253 nt
Filed under: uncultured bacterium
Lineage: Bacteria
Description: partial 16S ribosomal RNA
Rfam family: Bacterial small subunit ribosomal RNA
Source: RNAcentral